AUACAUGCAAGUAGACGCUGAAGCUUGGUGCUUGCACCGAGCGGAUGAGUUGCGAACGGGUGAGUAACGCGUAGGUAACCUGCCUCUUAGCGGGGGAUAACUAUUGGAAACGAUAGCUAAUACCGCAUAAAAGUCGACAUCGCAUGAUAUUGAUUUGAAAGGUGCAAUUGCAUCACUAAGAGAUGGACCUGCGUUGUAUUAGCUAGUUGGUGAGGUAACGGCUCACCAAGGCGACGAUACAUAGCCGACCUGAGAGGGUGAUCGGCCACACUGGGACUGAGACACGGCCCAGACUCCUACGGGAGGCAGCAGUAGGGAAUCUUCGGCAAUGGGGGCAACCCUGACCGAGCAACGCCGCGUGAGUGAAGAAGGUUUUCGGAUCGUAAAGCUCUGUUGUAAGAGAAGAACGAGUGUGAGAGUGGAAAGUUCACACUGUGACGGUAACUUACCAGAAAGGGACGGCUAACUACGUGCCAGCAGCCGCGGUAAUACGUAGGUCCCGAGCGUUAUCCGGAUUUAUUGGGCGUAAAGCGAGCGCAGGCGGUUAGAUAAGUCUGAAGUUAAAGGCUGUGGCUUAACCAUAGUACGCUUUGGAAACUGUUUAACUUGAGUGCAGAAGGGGAGAGUGGAAUUCCAUGUGUAGCGGUGAAAUGCGUAGAUAUAUGGAGGAACACCGGUGGCGAAAGCGGCUCUCUGGUCUGUAACUGACGC
RNAcentral lists this ribosomal RNA (711 nucleotides) under uncultured Bacilli bacterium. RNAcentral describes it as "bacterial SSU rRNA". It matches the Rfam family "Bacterial small subunit ribosomal RNA", at positions 51 to 746 of the family's 1533-position model. The record is from RNAcentral. Lineage: Bacteria; Bacillati; Bacillota; Bacilli.